CUACGGGUGGCUCCAGUGAGGAAUAUUGGACAAUGGGGGCAACCCUGAUCCAGCGACGCCGCGUGAGUGAUGAAGGCCCUUGGGUCGUAAAGCUCUGUCAGAAGGGAAGAAAUGCUGCGUAGCUAAUAUCUGCGCAGUUUGACGGUACCUUCAAAGGAAGCACCGGCUAACUCCGUGCCAGCAGCCGCGGUAAUACGGAGGGUGCAAGCGUUAAUCGGAAUUACUGGGCGUAAAGGGCGCGUAGGCGGCCUGUCAAGUCAGAUGUGAAAGUCCACGGCUCAACCGUGGAAGUGCAUCUGAAACUGGCAGGCUUGAGUAUCGGAGAGGAAAGUGGAAUUCCCGGUGUAGAGGUGAAAUUCGUAGAUAUCGGGAGGAAUACCGGUGGCGAAGGCGACUUUCUGGACGAAUACUGACGCUGAGGCGCGAAAGCGUGGGGAGCAAACAGGAUUAGAUACCCCGGUAGUC
RNAcentral lists this ribosomal RNA (465 nucleotides) under uncultured bacterium. Its description in RNAcentral is "partial 16S ribosomal RNA". It matches the Rfam family "Bacterial small subunit ribosomal RNA", at positions 339 to 795 of the family's 1533-position model. The record is from RNAcentral.